Molecule: ribosomal RNA, 497 nt
Filed under: uncultured bacterium
Lineage: Bacteria
Description: partial 16S ribosomal RNA
Rfam family: Bacterial small subunit ribosomal RNA
Source: RNAcentral
GAUGAACGCUGGCGGCGUGCCUAAUACAUGCAAGUCGAGCGAACGGACGAGAAGCUUGCUUCUCUGAUGUUAGCGGCGGACGUGUGAGUAACACGUGGAUAACCUACCUAUAAGACUGGGAUAACUUCGGGAAACCGGAGCUAAUACCGGAUAAUAUUUUGAACCGCAUGGUUCAAAAGUGAAAGACGGUCUUGCUGUCACUUAUAGAUGGAUCCGCGCUGCAUUAGCUAGUUGGUAAGGUAACGGCUUACCAAGGCAACGAUGCAUAGCCGACCUGAGAGGGUGAUCGGCCACACUGGAACUGAGACACGGUCCAGACUCCUACGGGAGGCAGCAGUAGGGAAUAUUCCGCAAUGGGCGAAAGCCUGACGGAGCAACGCCGCGUGAGUGAUGAAGGUCUUCGGAUCGUAAAACUCUGUUAUUAGGGAAGAACAUAUGUGUAAGUAACUGUGCACAUCUUGACGGUAACUAAUCAGAAAGCCACGGCUAACUACGUG